This 71-nucleotide transfer RNA is filed under the name Heterocephalus glaber (naked mole-rat). It matches the Rfam family "tRNA". From Rfam's summary of the family: Transfer RNA (tRNA) molecules are approximately 80 nucleotides in length. Lineage: Eukaryota; Metazoa; Chordata; Mammalia; Rodentia; Bathyergidae. The record is from Rfam by way of RNAcentral.
GGUGGUAUAGCUCAGUGUAGAGCACUUGCCUAGCAUGCAGGAGGGUUUGGGUUCCAUCCCCAGCACCACAA